RNAcentral lists this transfer RNA (67 nucleotides) under Holbrookia lacerata. RNAcentral describes it as "tRNA-Ser". The record is from RNAcentral. Lineage: Eukaryota; Metazoa; Chordata; Lepidosauria; Squamata; Phrynosomatidae.
AAGAGGUGUCAUGAACACCAAGAACUGCUAAUUCUUACUACUGAAGUUAAAAUCCUCAGACCUCUUA